This 511-nucleotide ribosomal RNA is filed under the name Curvularia verruculosa. Its description in RNAcentral is "eukaryotic LSU rRNA". The stretch from base 180 to 333 matches the Rfam family "5.8S ribosomal RNA". Lineage: Eukaryota; Fungi; Ascomycota; Dothideomycetes; Pleosporales; Pleosporaceae. The record is from RNAcentral.
GGAGGGAUCAUUACACAAAUGAAAAUAUGAAGGCCCUUCAAACCGGCUGGAUUAUUUUUCUUCACCCUUGUCUUUUGCGCACUUGUUGUUUCCUGGGCGGGUUCGCUCGCCACCAGGACCACACCAUAAACCUUUUUGUUAAUGCAAUCAGCGUCAGUAAAAAGUAAUAAUUAUUUUACAACUUUCAACAACGGAUCUCUUGGUUCUGGCAUCGAUGAAGAACGCAGCGAAAUGCGAUACGUAGUGUGAAUUGCAGAAUUCAGUGAAUCAUCGAAUCUUUGAACGCACAUUGCGCCCUUUGGUAUUCCAAAGGGCAUGCCUGUUCGAGCGUCAUUUGUACCCUCAAGCUUUGCUUGGUGUUGGGCGUUGUUUGUCUUUGGCCUUGCCCAAAGACUCGCCUUAAAACAAUUGGCAGCCGGCCUACUGGUUUCGCAGCGCAGCACAUUUUUGCGCUUGCAAUCAGCAAAAGAGGUUGGCCAUCCAUCAAGACUACAUUUAUACGUUUUGACCU